UCUGGUGCCAGCAGCCGCGGUAAUUCCAGCUCCAAUAGCGUAUAUUAACGUUGUUGCAGUUAAAAAGCUCGUAGUUGAAGUGAGGGAGUGUGUGUUCAUGAGAGCUAGUCUCGAGUGUUCACAACCUCCCCCCUCCAAUCGGUGUAGUGGGGUAUUCAGUUAUUUCACUACUCCUUUGGUCGUUUACUGUGAGAAAAUUAGAGUGUUCAAAGCGGGCGUUUGUUUGAAUAGAUUAGCAUGGAAUAAUGAUUGAAGGCUUUCGUGUUCGAUUUGAUUGGUUUGUUCAUGGAAGCAAGGUUAAAAGGAACAGUUGGGGGUAUUCAUAUUCACUAGUUAGAGGUGAAAUUCUCGGAUUUAUGGAAGAUGAACAGGUGCGAAAGCAUUUACCAAGGAUGUUUUCAUUAAUCAAGAACGAAAGCUAGGGGAUCGAAGAGGAUUAGAUACCCUCGUAGUCUUAGCUAUAAACGAUACCGACUAGGGGUUAGUAGAGGUCAAUGUGUCUCUAUUAGUACCUUAUGAGAAAUCAAAGUCUUUGGGUUCCGGGGGGAGUAUGGUCGCAAGGCUGAAACUUAAAGGAAUUGACGGAAGGGCACCACCAGGAGUGGAGCCUGCGGCUUAAUUUGACUCAACACGGGGAAACUUACCAGGUCCAGACAUAGGAAGGAUUGACAGAUUGAUAGCUCUUUCUUGAUUCUGUGGGUGGUGGUGCAUGGCCGUUCUUAGUUGGUGGAGUGAUUUGUCUGGCUAAUUCCGAUAACGAACGAGACCUCCGCCUUUAACUAGUGUUGGCUAUUGUGAUAGCUGAUACUUCUUGGAGGGACACUAUACGUAAAGUGUAGGGAAGCUGGAGGCAAUAACAGGUCUGUGAUGCCCUUAGAUGUUCUGGGCUGCACGCGCGCGACACUGAUCUAUUCAACGAGUGGCUGUGUCGAUAGACUUGGCAAAUCUUGUGAAAGUAGAUCGUGAUGGGGAUUGAUGCUUGUAAUUGUUCAUCAUGAACGAGGAAUUCCUAGUAAACGCAAGUCAUCAACUUGCAUUGAUUACGUCCCUGCCCUUUGUACACACCGCCCGUCGCACCUACCGAUUGAAUGGUCCGGUGAACACUUUGGAUUUUAGGCGAAUGAACUGUAAAAGGGGAGUUCGUUUGGGAGAAGUCGUGUAAAUCUUAUCAU
This 1172-nucleotide ribosomal RNA is filed under the name metagenome. Its description in RNAcentral is "SSU rRNA". It matches the Rfam family "Eukaryotic small subunit ribosomal RNA", at positions 560 to 1772 of the family's 1831-position model. The record is from RNAcentral.